This 16556-nucleotide long non-coding RNA is filed under the name Setaria viridis. RNAcentral describes it as "long non-coding RNA (SVIR_LNC002678)". Lineage: Eukaryota; Viridiplantae; Streptophyta; Magnoliopsida; Poales; Poaceae. The record is from RNAcentral.
UUUUUUUUUCUCUAUUUGUUCCCCGGCUGAACUGUGCACGCUUCAUGACUGUGCCACCGGUAUGGGCGUUUGGCAGAUCCAAAUUAGUAGCCCACCAACUUAGUAAAUGAUCACACCACACCAAUGGAUCUAAACAAACCAGAAAAAAAAAUGGAAGAAGAAAGAACAAAUCCCAUUUCCUCUAACCCAUCGAUAGCUUAAACCCCCACAAGUCAAGCCUUCCGCGUCGGCUUCGUCCUCCCUCCCAUCGUCUCCUUCCCCAAAACCAGAUGGGCGAAGGGAGGAGACGGCGAGAUCUCACUCCCCGCUUCCCCUCCGUCUCCCCGCCCCAAAUGGCGCCACCGCGCGCUAACCCUAGCCGCCGCCACCCGCUCCUCGUCCUCCCCCUCCUCCUGCUCCUCCUGAUCCCGGCCGCCGCCGCCGCCGCCGGAGAUACCUCCUUGUCCACCUUCUCGUACUCCCGCCACUGCCCCGGCCUCCCCGCGGCGCCCGACGUCCCCGCGGGAGACGGCCACGCGCUCCCCACCCUCCAGCUCUCCACCGGCUACUUCUCCGGCGGCGGGCCCCGCAUCUUCGCCCCCGAACCCUCCUCCCAGCCGCGGUCCUUCUCGCUCCUCCCCUCCUCGGUCGUCCGCACCGCCAACGCCUCGCUCCUCCACGUCUCCGCCACGCUAUCCGUCUCCGGGGGCCGCCGCCCGGGCCGCUACGGGCUCGGCGGCCGCAACCCCUUCGAGGACGACGUCCAGGCGCGCUACUUCCGCCCGCGCCUCCCGCGCUUCACGGGGCGCCGCGGCUCCAUCAUCUUCGGCCUGGAGGGAUACUACUCGACGGGCUCCGGCGAGCUCUGCAUGGUCGGCACGGGCUCCGGCCGCGCGGCCGACGGCACGCCCGUGCACUUCCCCGUCGUGCUCCGCCUCGGCUUCCCCACCCCCGCCAACCUGACGCGGUCCUUCGUCACCGGCCGCCUCGAGAGCGUCGACACCAUCACACCCAUCGACCCCCUCUCACUCGUCGCCUACGCUGAGGAGGGAUACGCGUACGCGGAGAGCGCCUCCUGCCCACCCCCGCCUGCGGGGAGGCUCGACGCGCUCCAGGUGUUCGAGAAUAGGACUUUCUCGUGUGCUUACCUCAAUUCAAUGCUCAAAUCGCCGUUCAGGUUGCACUACCAGAGCGGCAGCGAGUCCACCGCAUCCUCACUGGGGCUUCACCAAAGGUACAUGUAUGUCAACCGGAUGCAAUGCAAGGAUGAUGGUGCCGUCCGCGCUUAUGUGGUAUUCACUAACCAGACAGAGGCAUCAAGGUACUACUUCAUGCUGGGUGAGAAGGCAGUUGUGGUGGAUGGGUUCUGGGAUCAUGGCAGAAGCCGGCUUUGCUUCAAAGGGUGUCACGUCGUGAACUCAGGGCCAUCCCCUGCUGAUUUGGCAGUGGGUGAAUGUGGAAUUGGGAUGAGCUUCUGGUUCCCGGCAGUGUGGUCGUUACAGCAGCGGAGCUUUGCUGCUGGUCUGGUCUGGAAUACGAGUCUGAAAAGUGGUGAAGCCAUUGCUGCAGGUUCUAGUGCAAUCACUCACAACUACAGGGGCAAUCUUGCUGGUUUGAAGUAUAAUUACACUAAGGUGGAUGAGGCGAUGAAGCACUAUAAGAAGUCUGGAUUGAACAAGGACAGGAAAGGGAAGUUCCCAGACAGCAGUUCGUACCGGGACUUGGUUUUCAGGUUUUUUGUGCAGAAAGGAGGUGGCUCUGGAUAUGCAUCGCCUGUCACACUUGGGUCAAUGUUGUUUGAUGGAAACUCUUUGGUGGCUCCGGAUCCCUUUUCUCAUCAUGUGACAGGCGUGAUGAAGCAGAGACUGAUUAAUGUCAGCUACGACAUCUACUAUGUUGGGAAUUGGUCUCUAGAAUCAUUCCAUCGUCGACAUAUCUCAGCGGAGGGUGUUUAUGAUACUAAGACAGGCUCCCUUUGCAUGAUCGCUUGUCGAGAGCUUAAUGUCUCAUCAGAUUGUGAAAUUCUGGUGACUGCUCAGUUUUCUUCUUUGGAUGCAAAAGUAGCACAGCAUGUAAAGGGAACUAUCAGAAGCUUGAGGAAGAAGACUGACCCUCUUUUCUUUGAAACACUGUAUAUUGCUUCAUAUGGGAUGUUCAUAGACCAAGUGGAUGAAUCAAUAUGGAGAAUGGACUUAGAAAGCACCAUGGCGUUGAUCUCUAUGACACUGGCAUGCAUCUUCAUCGCUGUGCAGCUGUUUCAUGUCAACAAGGUCCCUGAAGCACUUCCUGCCAUGUCAAUCACGAUGCUUGUUGUUCUGGCUUUGGGUUACAUGAUCCCUCUUGUACUUAACUUUGAGGCUCUCUUCAAGAACAGCAACAAACAGACCUUCCCGCUUGCAGGCGGUGGUUGGCUUGAGGUGAAUGAAGUUAUGGUGCGAAUCAUUACCAUGAUAACAUUUCUGCUACAGUUGCGACUUCUUCAGUUGGCAUGGUCUGCACGGUCUGUGGAUGUAAGCAAAGCUGAGUCAUGGGCUGCCGAGAAGAAAGUACUCUGGAUAUGCUUGCCACUGUACAUCACUGGAGGAGUUAUUACUUGGGUUGUUCACAUGAGGUUUAAUCACAGCCGAAGAAUGCUAAGGCAGGUAGUACAAAUCAAGCCAGUUGGACAUGCAUUCUGGGAGGACCUUGUAUCUUAUGGUGGAUUAAUACUCGAUGGGUUCUUGCUCCCUCAAGUGAUCCUUAAUGCUUCCUCAGAUUCCAAAGUUAGAGCCCUUUCCCCAGGGUUUUACAUCGGAAGCACCAUGAUCCGCGCUCUGCCUCAUGUGUAUGAUGUGUUCAGGAGACAGCAUUUUGUGCCGAGCUUGAGACCAUCUUACAUGUAUGCUAGCCCUCAUGAUGAUCUCUUCAGCCUCGCAUGGGACAUUGUGAUACCUUGUGGAGCAAUGCUACUGUCAGUGGUUCUCUUCUUUCAGCAGCGGCUUGGAGGUGCUUUCUUCCUUUGUUCGAAGAACAGGAAGACAAGAGAAUAUGAAAUGGUUUCCACCGUCAGUUCUUAAGAAAAGCUGAGUGGAUUCGAAAUGGUUCCUACAGUCGGUUCUCGACAAGCUUUUACAUCAUUGUUACAAAGGAAAUGUAGAGGAUGUUUACAAGUAAACGAAGAAAUAACUGUUCCUGGUCAAUGUUUGUUUUACAAAUGUGCUUGUUUGCAGCAAAAAUCACGUGCAUGUAUACGAAAGAUGAUACACAAAUUGGGCAAGUUUUGCACCUGGAUUUAGGAUGCUUAAUGCCUUUUACUCUGUUGCAAGUUAUACUUUGCAGCAUUCCUCAUGUGUCAGCAUCUCUCUGUCAGGAGGUGGUAAUUCGCCUCUUGUUUUGUGCAUCAGAUCAAGUGGGUCUUUUAUUAUCGCAUUUCUUCGGGGGUGUUUGGAUCUUUAGUCCCGACUAAAAUUUAUGUCACAUCGAAUAUUCGAAGGCUAAUUAGAAGGACUAUGAGCUAAUUAUAAAACUAAUUAUACAAAUAUAGGCUAAUUCACGAGACGAAUUUAUUAAGCCUAAUUAAUCCAUCAUUAGCACAUGUUUAUUGUAGCAUCACAUUGUCAAAUUAUGGAUUAAUUAGGCUUAAUAGAUUCGUCGCGCAAAUUAGUCUCCAUACGUGCAAUUAGUUUUGUAAUUAGUCUAUAUUUAAUACUCCUAAUUAGUAUCUAAACAUUUGAUGUGACAGGAAUUUUAGGAGCUACUAAAGAAACAAACACCUCCCGUUUCUAUAUCGUUUCAGUUCAUUUCCUGUGUGUAAGGUGGAUGACACCUGCUGGCCCGGGUUGUAAAAUCCGCAGUUGUGGCCUGAUUGUGAUUGAAGCUGUUGAUCCGAUAGGUCAUUGGCGGCACUUGUUACGAACCACGUGAUGCCUUCAAUUAUUCGCAGAUGUACAUUGUCUUUGCUAUCGUUGUUGCACGGCGCCCCACUAGCGUGCAUCGCCCGCGUUGCCCACCCUCCUCGAAAGUUCCUCGUGCGCGAUUUCAUACGCGUAAGAAAGCUCAGGUCAGAUUUGAACGUUGCGAAGCGCUAGACUGCUAUAGAACCGUGACGACUGACGAGAACAUCUGUGCUGACACGGUUGCAGACCAUGGGACUUUCCAAUUCUAAGGUCAGGCAGAAGGAAGUCGCAGGAUGGACCACCGAAAGCUGGGGCCAGGGAGCAAGGUAGCGCGAUGGUCGUUUUCCAUUGGCAUCGACGACUCCAGGUCGAUCAACUACGAGGAACCAAACUUGCAGUUCACUGCCAUGCCAUGAAGGUGACUGGAAUUCAGCUCAGUCCCGGGAGAACGCCGGCAGGCUCCCAUGUUGGCAGUGAGGACUGCAGGGUGCAGGCUGGAGGGCUGUUCACUUCAGCUUAUUCAGCUGGCUUAUCAGCUAACAAAUAGUAUUUUCUCUCACAACAAAUCAGCUAUUUCAACUUUUCAGCCGGCUUAUAAGCUGAACUUACCUCACCCAACUUUUCUUCCCCCGGUGAAUGAACCUGCAGCCUUGUUGACACAUUCAACACCUAAAUCACCAGAUGACAUGACUCCAAACCACCGUUUCUCUAAAAAAAUACCACAUGACACGGGUCAAUCUCUAGUCAUAACCACUUCCGUAGUAAAAGUAUAAGAGGACGAAACAGCAAGCCUCCAAACAGGUCCUUUCGCUCUGGCACGGCUGCUCUGCUCGGUUCCAUCACGGCGGAGCCCCCCGCACACCGCGGCGCCGGCUUCCAGUUGCAGGCUUGCAGCCAGCCUGCCGUUGCCGAAACGCCCCCACACGGCCAAACCCCCGUGCCCAACGCCCAGUUUUGGCCCGACCCCGCGUCGCUUGACCGGUAAAAGCCUAGCCGCCUCCGCGCGCGAGCCCCGCCGCGCGAUAGCGAUAGGGCGAUGGCGACGAGACCCUCCCGCGACCCCGUCAACCCCACGCCCUGCCAGGCUGCCACCGUCCGCACGUCACUCCACUGAGGCGUCACCCGGCGUCCCGGCCCACCCCGGAUGGUGCCCCACCACCCGCGACCUUGACCCCGCCCGCCCGCGCGCGCGCCGUCACCGUCGUCCCCCAUCGCCGCCUGCGGAAGCCCACGCACGCAGCCAGGCUGCGCCACGCCACGCCACCACACCACACGCACUCCCGGUACAAGACGACCGGGGAGCAAGCGGAUGGGCUCCGCAGUCCACACCACGCCGCACGGCAGGCCGAUGGAAUAGCACCGUACCGGUGGCGGCACGGGCGCGGCUUGCUUAUAACGCGCUGGGGGCAGAGGAGGGAAAGGACGGCGACGAUGAGGGGGUCCUUCGGCGCGCGGCGGAUGACCGCGCAGGAGGCGGCCGAGGCGGCCGUGGGCGCGGUCGGGUGCGGGUACGACCUCACGGGGGACCUCCGCCUGGGCCGCGCCAAGCCGGCGGGGAGGUUGGUGGAGAUCGACGCGGCGCCGGCGCCGGCGCGGGACCUGACCCUUCCUGGAGGGGCCGUCGUCUCCGGCGUGCCGGCCGGGAUCGUCGCCGACAAGGGCGAGCGCACGCGGUUCCGCUCCGACGUCCUCUCCUUCGCUCAGGUGUGCUUCCUUUGGGUUUUCGUUCUUCCCCCACUGACUUGAGUUCUCAGGAGCCCUGAGAGUGAUCGAUGCCCGGCCGCAGAUGGCGGAGCAGGUGAACCAGUCGCUGUCGCUGGCGGGGAAGAUCCCCUCGGGCGCCUUCAACGUCAUGUUCGACUACCGCGGGUGCUGGCACCGGGACGCCGCCGCCACGCGGAGCCUCUGCUUCGACGGCUGCUUCGUCGAGCUCUACAGCGUCGAGGCCGUGCGCGCGCAGCUCGCCCUGCGAGACAGCGUCAAGGAGGACCUGCCGCCCUUCUGGGAUCCCCCCGCGCUCGCCGAGUACGCUUGCCGCCGCUAUCCUCUCCCGUCCCAGCCGUGACGAUGCGCAGAGCAAGCAAACUGAUGCGGCUGCUUGCUCUCUGCAGGUUCAUCGACAAGUACGGGACGCACGUCGUCGUCGGGGUGAAGAUGGGAGGCAAGGACGUGGUGUGCGUCAAGCAGCUUAAGGGCUCCAGCCUGACGCAGAGCGACGUGCAGGCCCGGCUCAAGAAGCUCGCCGACGGCAAGUUCUCGCAGGACGGCCCGGCCGGGAAUCCCACCGCCGCCGGAGACGACAGGCUUACGCACGGGCUAAACGUGAGUGUUCUCUGCUCCGCGUGCACCUCUGCUCACAGUGUCACAGUCACUUGAAUAUGAAUGCCUCGUUUGAAAAAAAAAAUGAGUUCAUACCUGCUGCAUGUGUGAAACGAAUGAGCAAUUCUUGUUGUGCUACAGGGAAAUUUCGGCCCCGGAUCAGCGGCCUGGCAGUCUUUCAGAUCACCAGUCGUGUCUCACAAGGAUGUAAGGAAGCAUUUCGCCCAACGAUUUUACUGAUCACAAUGCGAUGGCACCACCAACAACAGCCCAGAAAUAACAUGGUUGCGUUGCGUCCCGUUGAAUUUUGGUAGGACAUUGUCUGCAUCCACAUCAGGAGAGGUGGCGUCGACAGCGGGCAGGGCCACGGCAAGUGGCUCUCGACGAUCACCGGCUACCCGGACGUCAUCUCGAUGUCGUUCGUGCCCAUAACUUCCCUGCUGUCCGGCGUUCGAGGCUGCGGGUUCCUGAACCAUGCGGUGAAUCUCUACCUCAGAUGUAAGCGUCUCUGAUCAUCUGAUGCAGCAUUGUCACUUUGCCACUUUGGAGUCAGUUCAGACGUCUAAUCGGCCGUCCAUUUCCUGCUUUUGGAUUCAGACAAACCGCCCAUAGAAGAGCUUCAGCAGUUUCUGGAGUUCCAGGUGCCGCGGCACUGGGCUCCAGAGUUUGGUGAGCUUCCUCUUUGCCUCCACAGGAGGAAGAACAGCUUGCCGUCUCUUCAGUUCACCCUCAUGGGCCCUAAGCUUCAUGUCAAUACUGCCAAGGUAUCCUGUUAGGAACCUGUCGUCUUGAUCACUGUUCCUAUUUGCAGUUGCAGAACUCAAACAAAAUUCUGUGUCGUGCAGGUUGAUUCCGGCAACCGUCCGGUGACCGGCAUCCGGCUGUUCUUGGAAGGCAAGAAGAACGACCGGCUGGGGGUCCACCUGCAGCACCUGUCGGUGACGCCGGGCACGAUCACGGUGGCCGGCGAGGCGGCGUCGGCCGAGGACGCGAUCGUGGACGAGCGCGACUACAUCGAGCCCGUGAUGUCGCCGCUGCUCUCGCACGUCUGCACGGCGCCGGUGCAGUACAACGGCGCGCGGAUCGACGACUGCGCGGCGAUCGUGACCAGGGCGUGGCUGGAGGUGCGGGACACCUGCUGCCUCAAGAAGGUGCUCUUCCUGCGGCUGGGCUUCUCCGGCGUCGCGGCCACGAAGAUCCGGCGGUCCGAGUGGGACGGGCCCUCCGUCGUGCCCCUCAAGUCCGGCUCGCUGUCGGCGAGGCUCAGUGCGGCGCUCUCCGGCGGCCUGGCGCAGGCGGUGCCGCCGCCGCCCGCCGCGGAGGAGAAGGUGGAGGUGAACUCCGCCAUAUUCCCCAAGGGACCGCCGGUGCCGCUCCCGGUGCAGAAGAUGGCGAGGCACGUGGACACCACGGAGGUGAUGAGGGGCCCCGACGACCAGCCGGGGUACUGGGUGGUCACCGGCGCGAAGCUGUGCGUCGAGGGCGGCAAGAUCGCGCUCAAGGUCAAGUACUCGCUGCUCAUCGCGGUGCAAGAGGACACCGACGUCUGAGCGCUUCGUUGUCGUCGUCGUCGUCGUCGAUGCCUCAGCUUCUCCGUUUUUGUGUCUUGUUUUGACGUGGUGUACAGAGGGCACAGGGCAGUUCAGUCGUGCGCAUGGUGUAAAUAGUGCAGAGGGCGCAUGCUGCAUACUUCAGUGUCAGAGAUGUUGUUGUUGUUGUACAGAAUAUAGAGUGCCCAAUAGCGGCUGAUAUUUUGGUUUGCCGAUUCAGGUUUUGCAAAUCUAGGAACAGUUUAGAUAUGUAGAAAUUAUCUUAUUUGAGCAUUCAAUAUAAGAAAACGAGUGAUGCUAUUGCUCAGCAGAUUGGGAAAAAUAGUUCGAUCAGUCAGUCGAUGAUCACUGUCGUCGACCCCUCUACUUCUUUUUGUGUUUGAUUGUUUCGUUAGCCGUGGUGUACAGUUCAGUAGUGAGCAUGUUGUAAAUAGUGAAGAUUGUACAUUCUGAUGGUUCAGGAUAAAAAUAGUUCAUAAACCGAUUGAUUUUUGUUUUGGGCUUGUUUUUGUUGGUUGCUAAAGGGUUCGCUCAUGCCUUGCUCGGUUUAAUGAAAAAACAAUCAUCCCUAAUCUUCUUUGCGAUCAAUUUGUAGGUGCCGGCCAGAUCUAUGCCUAACUUAAUAUUUGAGCACCAAUUCUAAUAUGUUGCAUUAUGUAAGCAUUGUCACUGUACCCCACGAAAUAAGUAAAAAAAUAUGAAUCAUAUAUUCCUUUUCCAUUUGUGUGUGAGGCCAUUUCCUCUUGUCUCAGCUCUGCGUGUUGGACAUUUUUUAUUCAUGAUUCAUGCAAAGUCAUCAAGUACAAUAUUAUUUAUUCAUGUAUCGCCACCUACUACAAUUUGAGGUUUCGACCUUCUCUCUCCUUUACGAGGCAUUGGUUUUCCUACACCCUGCAUGUGUUUGCCAACUCCACUACCGAACCUCCCACAAUAUGGAUUAUCAUUUUACAAUAUAUUGCCUAACCUUUACAUAACUCGAAUGUUUUUUUGGUUUGGUUUGGUUUGAUUUGAUUUGGAUUUCUCGAGAAAAAAUGAUUUAGACUUGAUUUUAAGAAGCCACCCGUUACUUGAAAAAGAUAGUUUCACUUGCCACUUUCAAUAUUAUACACGCUGGAACGCUAUUGUCAACCUGUAUAUGUACUAUGGCAUUCUAGUGAAAUCAUAUUUUUUGAAAUCAUAUUUUAGAGUGUUUGGCUCGGUGUUUUGAGAUUGUCAACCUCCAUAGGUCGUCCUGUUUGUCGGGACGUCUUUCGCUGCUGGAGCAUGAUCUGCCUGUCUUCGACAAUCCUAUCGUGUACUUGUUUGCAUUUGCCUGUUCCUCAUCGCUUGCUUGGUUGCUCGCCUCGAUGAUCUCCAUGUUCUUCCAUGGCUAGCGCCACAAGACCGGUCACCAUCCUGACUUGGAAUGUUCACGGCUUAAGUGACAAGUGCAAAUGUGACAACAUCCGGCUUGCACUUCCCUCCUGCUUGCCUGCUAUUACUAGCUCCAACACAUUGACAACUUCAAAGCCACCUCCUUCCUGCCUCCUUCUCUCCCUCCUUCGGUGCCUCUAGGGGCAUUCUCACUGUCUGGAACCCAAACCUCCUUACACUCACUGCUUCCUCCUCGCAGCGCUUCUCCCUAACCAGCACCUUCACCACCUUCUCCCUAAACUACUCUGAUUUGGUAUUGAGACCAAUUCAAUACCAAGCCCCAUAAUAGCGAUACCAAACGGAGCCUAAUUGUUGUAGGACUUGAUCUGGCUCUUCGGUCCACUGAAACUUGUCUUGCCACUUGAUUAUUUGAAGAAUGGUAGGUUCCAUUCUCCAAGCCUGAGAUGAAUCUGUUGAAGAUCGACAUGCAUCCAGUCAGCUUUUGGACGUCCUUGAUGCCUAUCGGUGAUAGGGCAUGCAUAUCGGUGUGGCGGAGAUCUUCUCAGGGUUAGCUUCAAUGCCUCGGUAAUUAAUGAUGAACCUGAGUAGUUUCUCAAAAAGCACGUCGAAGACGCACUUUAUCAGGUUAAGCUUCCACCGGAAGUCUCGUAGACUUACGAAAGUUUUUGCGAAAGUUUCUUCUACAUCCACAAUCGAAUCGACGGGAGCGCUCCCAAGGCACGUGUAGACCAAGGAGGUAGAGAAAAGCAGUACGGGAGCGGCACCCAAGCUUGAGGUCGACGUCUUCGGCCUCCUCGUCGUCUUGCUGCGUUCCUGCAAGCCGCGACCUUGACCUGCUCCUCCCGCAUACUGCCAUAGCUUAUCUGCUCCUCCCUCUCUGCUUUUCCAAUCACUGGCAUCGAUCCCUUCUCGGCCACCUCUAUCUCCGAUUAAAUUUGGAUUACAUAAGAGGAGUAGUGCACAGGUACAAUCCAUGUUUGCAUUGGAUUCAGGAUAUGGGUUAGGGAGGGCUCCGAUUUGUGGCAGAACCACAUGGAUGGGAGCUGAGGAAGGGGAUCUGGGAUUCGAUUGAUCUGACCAGGGAUUCGAUUGGAUUGUUUACGUCAGAACAAAAUAGAAGAAGAUAUUUUCUUGUGGGGCUAAUUGGGCUUGAGGUUGACUUUACUGUGCUGAAAGGUCAAUAGGUCAUGGCUACGACUGAGUGCUGGGCCUCAGUCGUAGGACUAUAAUUUGCUGGGCCUACAAGUAUAUUAUGAUUGCUUCGUCUAUCCUAGAUUUCCAAAUUAUAGGACUCAGCAUUGCUAUACUACAAAACGCUUUAAAGGUGUUUGGUUGCCCUUAGCCAGGCUCUACCGAUGCAACAUUUCCUAUUUGUUUAGUUUGCGCAUCCGCUCGAUCAGGCUCCACGUGUGUAAGAUUUUUCCUGCAGCCAGGCUCUGGAGGUACGCAGAAAUUGGUCGUUUCUGCCGAGCCAGGCUCGCGUGGUGCGGGUAAUUAGCCAUCUAAUGAUGUUAUUAAUACAUUAUUAGCACAUAUUAAAUGAUAUUAACAUAUUUCGAUUAAUAUUAAGGAGUAAUAAGAUAAACUAAGAGUUAUAAGAUAAUAGUUUUCCGCAAUAAAUAUAUUACGAUAAUUAUUUAUAUAUUUUUAUCUCAUACAACCGAUCCUCGUACAAGCAACCAAACAAAUUUUCGGAAGAGCCUAGACAGACAACCAAACACCAUGCUCCUACAUGUAUCGAAUCUAGCUCUGAGGAGCCUAGCUAACUGGUACGAACCAGGCUAUACUCCUCCAGUCAACCAAACACGCGCUUAAGCUACAGCUACAGGGAGAGGGUCACCGCACGCUUAGCGCGCUUUUCUUAACCUUGCCUGCCGUAGCCCCCUUCGAAAAAGUGUGGCGUUUGGUUAAGUUCCAAGGGAUCCAACUAUACACUGUAGGCUGUAGCCAAGGAAAUCCCCUUCUUUCGUCCUUCACCCUCCCGGCCGGCGCCGCGGCGGCGAGGGAAGACGCGCGGGCCUCUUCCGUCGCCUCUCCCUUCCGCCUCCGCGGUCCGCUCCGCUCGCGCCCCAUCGAGCGCUCUCCUCCCGACCAAGGGUCCCUCGGUGCCUCCUUCCGCCAGAGGGGGACACGCCGCCUGCCCCGCAGACAGUCGAAGACUCGAAGGGAUUCCUCCUGUCGUCGUCGUCGUCCUACACCUCCUCGGCGCUGGGGGGCCGCCGCGUGGAGGGGAUUCCUCCGAGCUUGGAUCGAUUUCUUCUGCACUUGGUAAGGAACCCUAACCUUGCUUGGUUGUUGGGCGGGUCGCGCGUCCUGUCACCUCUGAGUGAUCAAAUCCAGAUCUUCACGAUCCAACCCGCACUCUUUGUAGCGAAACUGUUAGAAGCUAGUAAAUUUUGCAAAGAAAUCUUGGGGUUCAACCCGAUCCCCACGGAAUUUCUUAGGGCUUGUUGUAUAACACAACUCCCUCCCAGUCCCAGUACAUGUGGAAUGGAGUGGAAAAUCAAGUAAUCAACUAAUUUUCCUAUCAGUCCCUCCGAAUACGCAUGUAUUCGAUGGGACUAUUCUCUAUCCAAACAAAACCUGUAGUGUUUUCCCUAGGUUUCUCAUUUAAGAGCGGUUUCUUAAGAAUUACUCAAUUGCAUUUCGUAUUUUUGUCUUUCUUGAUGACUCAUUGUUGAACAGUUUUGAGACAUCUUUUUGGCUGGUAAUGUUACAAUCAAUUUUUAUUUAGAUGGAUAGCAUAUAUAUAAGGCCACUCCUGAAUUCCAACAUAGAUUACACCAAGCAACAUCAUGUAUUAUUUCUUUGCAACUACUGCUGCCUUACUUGGUCCAGAUCCAUGCACCACCCUUGCCACAUCGCUUUGGUGCCUCUCUGCUUUCGUGAGUAACCUGACAGCUUGGUUUGAAUCCUACUCCUUGAUUUGAUCAAACCUAGAUAACGGUUGUGUACGAGGCUCAAAACUUUUGCAUGGUCUACAAAAUUAUUGGGCAUUCCACUGUUGGUUCUUUUAUUGCCCAAGCCACGUUGCCCUUAUGCCCGAGGCCCGAGCCAAAUAUUACAGAUCAGUACAUUAUUAAUGAUUAUAUGAUGGAAAUCUGGAAUGCUAAGUUUCCUUUAGUUUUUCUCUAAAGAACUUUGAUGUUUCAUAAAUAUAACUCUGAAGUAUAUGCCAUUAUUAUUUUUUGUUUAUUUCAUUUGAUAUUAUCUUAUUUUUAUAAAUACUAAAAAUUUUAUUUCUUGAUUGCCAGUUGAACUUGGAGUUAGACUAUGGAUCUGGAGACAGAGAAUCGUCUUGCUUCUUUACUACUUGAAGAAGCGCGAAGAUUACAGUUAGAGGCUGACAGGGAAGGUGUCCAUGCGUAUCUUCGAAAGCCUAAUGUAAGGCAUCGUCCAAACUCUCGGUUCCUCACGGCCACAGUUCGUGGAGUUCAGCAAGGUUAGCAUUGUGCUCCUUUGAAAUGCCAUUGUUGCAGCUGUAUUUUGAGUUUAUUGAAUCAUUUGCCACUCUUUUUCUAUAUUUUUGAAAACAAUAAAACAGUUGCAAUCACGUGAUCUUGUAAAAACUCUACCUGGCUCUUGCUUCCUGUAUAGGACUCAUGUUACUAUCUCUUUUAAUUACAUCAAGUAGCUUUUCCAUACGUUUUGUUGAAUUGAAUCAAGCUGUUGGCCUGCAGCAAACCGUGUUGUGGAGGUCAAUGAAAUGUGGCGAGCCAGGGAAAAGGAAUUGGAGUUGGAAUCCAAGAUGAGAAGCGGAAGUAGCAAAAGUAAAGAUCUUUAUGACUCAAGAGGUGAGAAGCGUAAAAGUGACUCCAGAAACCAUAGCUCCAGCUCAAGGGUUGAACAAGAAGGGAUUGCCUACUCCUACUCAGACAAGGAGGAUGGUCUGGGUGAUGAUGAAAUUGAAAGAUUUCUUCAUUCAAGGUUAGUUAGAAUAUUCAGUAUCUUCUUUUUGUGAGAAAAGUCCAUUAUUUUCUAGAUGAACACCUGGCAUGUAACUAUGAUUUUUUAAAAGAAAAAACUCUGGUGAUCUUUUAUGAAAAUCAUGCAAUCUGUCCACCUCCUGAUAGUAGCACAUUAUUCUAUUUGUGGGUGCUGGUAUCCUAUUAUGUGGCAUAUUGUGAAUUUGUGCAUGCCCUCUGGACCUUUGCUUGGUGUUACCUAUCUGUGACUAUUGGUAACAUGUGCAAUUUGUUGCUACUUUGUUAGGGUGAAGCGAGGACGUGGGGCUGUUGGUUCUAGGAUGGACGAGCCCGGUCCAUACCUUGAUUUGUUGUCCCAUCGUAAAGACAACGAGCCUAGUCCUGACAUACGUGUGGAAGAAAAAUGGGAACGCCGAGUGCAAGGCCCAGAGAAGCCUUCGUUUUUGAAAUCCAAAUCUCCUGAUGAUUGGCAUAAGGAAUCGUUGGAUGGAAAGUCGUCAAGCUCUGAACCACGGAGCAAGAAAGAAAAGAAACGGAAAUCAGAGAAAAAAGAUAAGAGAGAUAAAAAUAAGGAGAAGUACAAGAAGAAAUCCAAACAUCGUCAUCACCACCACCAGAAAAGCCGAAGAAGGGAGUGAUGUGUCUGUUUGCCAAACAGGACAUUUGUACAAUGGUUCUGCCCUGAAAGAAGCAGCUAGUUGGUUGUUGCUGUAACUUGAAAUCUCUGUUGUAUGAAAAAUCGACACUGCAGAAUGGACUAUGGUUCAUAUGAUAGUGUUGUUUCAUAGUUGUGUUGUUCAAGUCUAAGUGUCUAGCCCUUAUCCUAAUAUGAUUAAUUUAACAUUUGAUGAAAGAGUGUUAUGCUUUUUGGCAGGCACACAUAACAUGUCCAAUAUCUUAAGUAUUUGAUGAGCUGGUCUUGAAGCAUGUCAAUCUAUUAAUUACGUGGUUCAUAGGUCAAUAAACGUGCUCAAGAAUUUGUUGACCAUCAGAUAGCAUUCACAGAUUUGUUUAUUUGCUAUGAAUUAAGAUCGUUGGCGCGCUACUUGUCAAGUUUCACUGAACAUUACAAUUGACUGCAAAUGGUAAGAUCGAACACCAUUUUGUGAGAUCUUUUAGUUCCUCACUCAAAAUGGACCUAAAAUUCGUAGCAUGGAUCAUACUCGAUUCUCAGUAUGAAUGGUUUACUUUGCUUUUAGAAAGCCUCCCUGUUUCCCAAUUUAUGAAUUGAUGUUCUUUCAUAAUUCGAGUAGGGGGAUUUACAUUCGUAGCAUGGAUCAUACUCGAUUCUCAAUAUGAAUGGUUUACUUUGCUUUUAGAAAGCCUCCCUGUUUCCCAAUUUAUGAAUUGAUGUUCUUUCAUAAUUCAAGUAGGGGGAUUUACAUGUAGUUGACACCCCAGACAUGGCAAUAAGAGGGCAUCGGUAUGUUUGGAGAACUGGAGCCAGUAUAUCUUUCAAGAAAAAAAAAGAUGCAGACAUCAUUGAAAGACUGGGGUGGUAUACAGAACAUUAAAUAUGAAAUUUCGAUUCAGAAUUGCUUUACAGGACUAAUUCUUGAUCCAUACCACUGAAAGAGAGAAUGUUUGUGCGAAGGCUUGAUAACAUUACCACAACUCAAAAAUCCCAAAACAAAAGAAAGCCAUCAUCUAAUUCUGAAGACUAAAGCCAUGCAAUCUAUGGUCUCUGUACAGUAUAAUGCCGUGUAUUGAACGUAAUGGACUGAAAAAAGAACUACCUGCAACAGAAGAUAAAAAAACAUUAGAUACAGUCAAAAGAGAUAUAAGCUUGCAACAAGGAAAGGUAAACAGAAUGUCUUUGUGUUAACAUUAAUUCCAAGCAAACAGCUGUGGAUAAAAUUGGUCGCUAAAGAAUGCUCAAGCUAAAAUCUUAACACAUUUUUCAUGCAACCAUACCGAAUGUGCUGAACAUUGCAAAAACCAUGAAAUGCUGUGCAGUAAGAAAUACAAAGAUGGCUUCAGCAGAAAUGCUGUUCAGGAGUAGCUGUUCCAGCUGCUUCCACUGAAAGUCAGACAAUUCAGAUGGGCAAAAGUGUUUGAUCAGGCCAAACAGUAUUCAAGAGACUCAAUUGAAACAGAAUAUGGAUCUAGAGGUGGGCUGAUGCUGUCCUGUUCUUACACUUAAAGUAAUAAAGCAUUUUUUUAGGGAACAAAAUCCGGUGUUUUUUAGCCAUGGAAGCUUAGUAGCUAAGCAUAACUAGCUCUUAUGAAUAAUUUGGACAGCUCGUCACCAUCCCAUGUGAACACUAAAUAUCAAUUCCCAUCCAAUGCACAUAAAAAUUAAGCAUCCAAGAGUAACCAACAAUAUUCCGAAUAGGGGAUUACCCAACUGCACUGCUAUUUUUGUCCUGAUGAACCACAGCUGCUCACAUUAAAGUAUUCUGCUAAAAUCAUGUAGAAAAUUCCAGUAUGAUACAUGACCAGACAUGACCGUGACAUCAAGUUUCUUUUGUGAAAGAAAAUCAUGAUACCUACUUCAAUUUAACCUAAACAGAAAUGCAAAGUUCCCCCUAAUACAUCUUUGUUGCCUCUUUUUUUCAGUACUAUGGUAGUCGAAACUGAGAAAAAUAUCUAAAAUUUCAGGAUGGACAGAAGAGCUGUCAACAAAAGAUAUACACAUUCCUUCAUAGCACAUACACAUUCCUUCAUAGCACAAACUACUGUAAAAGGAAAGAACUGUGAUCUGCCAGUUCCCCAAUUUAGGAACUCAGAAGUAUCACAAGAAACCACAGAAAUUCAGAGGCAUUAUCGCGUACCUGAAGGAACGAAUGAACAAACUACGUCGAAUUAACUCAGCCGACGACAAAUGGACCAAUCUCGCCGUUGCGCAUGGCGCGGGCGAGCUCGUUGGCUACCACCAGGCAGGUGGACACCCAGCCGGCGAGCACCGCCCACACCAUGUCCACGAUGCAGACCGCGACCCCCCACGGCAUCGUCAUCCUUGUUCCCUCUCCUCAGCCGUCCCCCAAGGAGGCAAUUCCACAAACACCUUCCCUGCAGUCUACAAGCACGGUUGAGCCGAGGAGGAGAUCGCAUGAAUUCCGACGAAAUGAUGACAAGCGACGGGAAGAGAACUCACCUCUUAUCUUGCCGAUGCAAUCAGCACGCAUGAAACGAAAGAAACUCCGAUUAGCGCCAGUCCUAGUUUCGAUCAAGAAUCUUAAGCACCAGCAAUCGGCGAAAAAUAUUUGCGUCGACAAGACGGUGUCUGACAAGAGAUGGGGAUCGAUUUCACUACCGCUUUAGCCACCUAACCCUUGCUCUCGCACCAAGAACCAACACAACUCCGCCACUUAGUGAUCAACUGCAAUUCCACCACCUCCAGCAUAAAUUCUUUAAUCAGCAUGAUAAUUUCUUUUGAUCAGACGAUUAAAUAGAGAUAAGGGUUGAAGGGUAUUCUCUUCACCUUGCUUGCUUGGUUUUCCCAUCUUCUUUGCCUGCCUUCCACAGCAACCUUUCCCUUUCACCUUCACAUAUCUUUUUGUUUCUUUUGCCAGGUAAGCAGUUCAAGAUUC